CUUGUGGCAGAUCUCUGGUGGAGUCGGUUCAAGACUAUCGUCGUCUCUGGCGUCCUGGAAGUCCUGGUAAAGAUCUCUCUCUUAUCUCCAUUUCUCGGAUUUCCAAAACAAAAAUACAUAGUACCUACUUGAUGACGAUGCCGAUUUUCUGCGCAGGGGAUUCUUCUCGUGGCGCUCGUAGCAUCUAUAGAAUCUCUCACUCCACCCGAGUGCCAGCUUCUAGAUGCUUCCUGCAACAGCGCAACCUCUUCCCAAAAGGCUGUGUUCUUCGGAGGACUCUACCUUCUAGCACUUGGAGCCGGAGGUGUCAAAGCCAACAUCGCGACCAUGGGAGCAGUCCACUUCGACGAGAACUCGCCUGUGGAGAAGAAAGAACUGGGGACGUACUUCAACACGUACUUCAUCCUUUUCUGCAUCGGAGCGCUCAUCGCGAUCACGGCACUCGUCUACACGCAAGAAAACGUCUCCUUCGAAGUUGGCUAUCUCAUCGCGCUUGGAUGCAUGGUAUUGGGCGUGAUCGUCGCUGCCGCUGGCUAUCCACUCUACCAACACAACUCACCCAUAAACGGAACCCAAAGUCCAGUCACAAGCUUCGCCCAAGUUGUUGUGGCCGCGUUUAAGAACCGCAAGCUUCAAAUUUUGUCCCCGGAAGUUCUCCAUCAGGGUCCUCUCGAUGACUCAAAGAUGGGCUACAGGAUCGAGCACACGGACCAGUUCACGUAAGAUUUUGAGAUUCGCUUCGAUAUAGUGAUCAAUCGUCUUUGUAACCAUGGCAGCUUCUUGGAUCGAGCAGCCAUCGUCGACUAUAACUCUCCCCCGACCGCACAAACCAGCCCCUGGAAGCUGUGCACGGUGACACAAGUCGAGGAGGUGAAGCUCAUCCUACGAAUCCUCCCGAUCUUCGCGAGCACCAUCGUUUUGAACUGCGUCAUCGCUCAAGUCCAGACAGUAACUCUCCAGCAAGGCCGGACGAUGGAUCGAAGGAUCACCAAGAGCUUCGAGAUACCUCCGGCGUCGGUGGCAGCGCUCCCGGUCGUGUUCAUGAUCAUAGCUCUCCCAAUCUACGACCGGAUCUUCGUGCCAAUCGCGCGGCGAGCCACGGGUCACGAGAGCGGGAUCACGUACUUGCAAAGGAUCUCCGUGGGCUUGCUUCUGGCGAUCGCGAGUAUGGUGGUGGCGGCGCUGGUGGAGAAGAAGCGGAUCCGCGUCGCUCGGGAGUUUGGGCUCCUCGAUUCGCCCACCGCGAGGGUGCCGCUCAAGAUCUACUGGAUCAUGAUCCAGUACUUCAUCAUUGGGCUGGCGGACAUGUUCACAUUCGUGGGUCUCAUGGAGUUUUUCUACCGCGAGGCCCCCGAGAGAGUUCGCAACAUGUCCACGGCGCUGACCUUUGUCUCGCUCUCCCUGGGCUACUUCUUGAGCUCCACCAUUGUGGACAUUGUGAAGAGCGUUACUACAAAAGGUGGCGGGCUCGGGUGGCUGCCAAGCAAUAUCAAUAAGGGUAACAUCAGCAACUUCUACCUGCUGCUUGCAAGCAUCAGCGCCGUCAACUUCGUGGUGUAUGUGGCCUGUGCGAGGUGGUACAGGUAUAGAAAUCACGGUGAUGUUGAUUUGACAUUGGAUCGUGAUGUUGAGUUACCAUCAAAAGUUACGGAUAUUGGUAGUGUGAGCAAGAGGCCCUUGAUGGCCUAGACAAUAUUUCAAAAUAAAUCUUGAACACCAGCUACUGAAGAAAUGUCCAUAAUGUUCAUACAGAUUCUUACAUAAAAUUCACCACCUAAUAACUCUUCGCAGUUUACAAGACAUUUAUUUUGGUGUCUCAAUGACUUGAGAAAAGUUAGUAAAAGGUAUAACUCAAGAACUCCAAAAAAAAAAAAACAGGUGAAACUUUAUGCUGAUGUAAAGAAGGCGACCAUUUUCUCAUGUCCUCUGUCAUGAUAAGCACCGUGUCCUCCUCGUUGACCUCGCCCUUCAAAAUCCCUUUAGCCAGCUCACUGGAUAGUUAGGAUCAUAUCCAAGCUUGGCAAACACCUGAACCGUAUCGUCCGUGAUCUUCAAAGAGAUCUUGCGGUGUUGGACGUUUUGCAGCUAGAGAAAAAAAGCCAAAGAUCAUAAACUGCCUGAUCGCGAAAACGCAACUUACCUGGAGCUUGACGAUUUCUUGGAUCUACUCCACGUCCAGGGGCUGGAACACGAUGAACUCGUCCACCCUGUUCCUGGCCGGAAGGUGGAGCGAGCCACUUCCAUCACCGUCUGAUAUGCCGCGUUCUUGUCGCCCGAUGAUUUGAGAGCGUCCAGGAUGUGCUGCGAGCCGAGGUUGACCACGGUGUUGGCGAAGUUCACCGUCCGGCCCUGGGAGUCCGUCACGUGGCCAUCGUCGAGUAUCUGGAGGAAGAUGUUGAAGACGUCCGCAGCCUUUUCGAUCUCGUCGAAGAGAACCACCGAGUAAGGCCGCCGGCGGACGCUCUCGGUCAGCUGCCCAGCCUUCCUCGUAUCCCACGUAUCCUGGAGGAGCGCCAAUGAGCCGGAACACGGCGUGCUUCUCCAUGCACUCAUGUCGAAUCUCAGCAGCGCUUUGUCCGUGUCGAACAGGUAUUCGGCUAGAGCUUUGGCCAGCUCCGUUUCCCCGACUCCGGUCGGCCCCAUGAACAUGAAGCUGGCGAUAGGACGGUUUGGAUCCGCGAGUCCAGCUCUGGAACGGCGGAUAGCGUCGGCCACGGCUUGCACUGCGGGGUCUUGGCCGAAAAAGCGCUUAUGUAAGUGUUCGUCGAGGUGGAGCAGCUUCUCCAUCUCGGACUAGAGCAGCCUUGAGACGGGAAUCUUUGUCCACUUGCUGACUAUCUCAGCACUUUCCAGAGCUGCAUCCUUCUCAAGGUACUUGCGAUAUUCCUUUAUUGUCGUGGCACCAAUGCACCUCAGUUCACCAUGGCCCAGCAUUGGCUUCAGCAAGUUUCCAACAUCCAUCGCUCCCGACGUGGCACCUGUAAAAACAAGUACCGUGCUUGCAGUCGAAAAUGCAAAAUCCCACACACAAAGUACUUGCCCCGACGACCAUGUGGAUUUCAUCAAUGAAAAGCACAAUGUACCCCUCUGACUCCUUCACUUCUUUUAGAACAGCUUUUAAUCGAUCUUCAAAUUCUCCUUGAAACUUCGCUCCUGCGAUCAAGGCUCCCAAGUCCAAUGAUAUCAGCUGCAUUUUUAAUGGUAAGGUGUUGCAAUAGCACUCGCGUAAAACAUACCUUCCGGUUGGCAAGGGCCUCGGGCACGUCUCCUUGAACUAUACGCUGAGCAAGUCUAUGCAAGAUAAUCAAGUCAGCAGAAGCCAGUCAUUUCCAUACCCUUCGGCUAUAGCAACACGAGGCUCUCUAAUCACGACAGGAUUGUUCUUGGUUCGCCGGCACACAAGAUUUGAAUGCACCGUCGAAUUUCGUCAUCACGACCGAUGACCGGAUCAAGUUUUCCUUGGCGGGCCAUCUCCGUCAAAUCCACUCCAAAUUUCUCGAGUGCUUCAUACUUGUUUUCAGGGGCUGGGUCGAGAAAACAAACAACGAGACUGUUGAGAAUUUUGACAAAGAAAACAGCGAACCUUGAUCAGUAACCGUCUGUGUCCCUCGAAUGGCAGUGAUCGCAUGUUUAGUAGCCUUGGCAUUGAGACCGAACUGCCCAAACAACUCCUUCCCGAUACGAAUGUCUUCCGCGGGUGACAAAUGUUCGAUUGACGUAUAAUUAUCUCCAAAGUCCUUCAUGUGACCCUUGGCUCGAUUGAGUAAACUGUCGAGGCUCUGGCCAAGCAUAGCACCAGAUAUGUUUCCCGUCACCUAGAAGAACACGCGCACAAUCAGAAUGUCUCAAUAGAAAAAAAAAACACUUUUCACCUUAGGCUGGCGCUCGAUGUAUCGCUCAGUUGCUUGCAAAAGAGCCGAGUUAUCAAUCCCAGCCUUGGUAAAAAUAAUCCGUGCAAGACCAUUUUUUUUCUCCAGCAAAUCCUUUAGAAGAUGCUCGGUUUCUACAACCUGUUGUCUGUUUGAUUGUGCCAGUUCCACGGCGGAAACCAUACCUUGCCUUGUUUAGAAAAAGAAUCAAGUUUCUCGCUGAAUAUCAUUCUUAACAUUACUAAUGAAAAUGGAGGUAUGGCUCAGUGGUAGAGCAAUCGGCUGCAGUCCCAUAGGUCACUAGUUCGAUCCUGGUUGCCUCCUCUUCCAGUUUGAAACUCAACAAAAUUUACAGAUACGCCUUCUCAAAGUUGGCGAGGUUGGUGGUAUUAGCUACAAUUUGACAAAUCAUUUUUUGAAACUCAGCUCUGAAUCCAUUUGUGGUUCAUGCUUUAGAAAGACCCUUCAAGGACCAUGUAGAUAGAUCUUCUUCACAAGAAAAGUAAAUGGUUGAAUACCUUUGCUGUGAUCCUAUGCUUCGUCUUCCUCUUCCAGCACAUAAGUUGGCCAUUGCGUCCGGAUUUGCAAGCCGGGAACCGUCUCACUCAACUGGAACGAUCCCGCAACUGGUUGAUCGCUACUUCCCAGCUGCUGGUACCUCGAGAUUUGCGAAGAGUCGCCCCCGCCAGCUUUGUGGAAGAACGCAUAAGUUCAUGGCCAGAUGCAAGUUAAACUGGAGCGUCGCGAUCGCCUUGCCUCUGUGCAAUGCCAUCGUCCCUUUGCAGUGAACUGCGUAGUCGCCCUCGCCGUUUUGAUCCAGCCAGCACCCCUGAGACAUCCCCCUGGACGAGAAGAUCGAGCUGGCCAUCUGGAAGAACCAAAUUCCCUGGAGGAUCAAUCCCAAGCUCUGAAUAAAACGCAGCAGCUCACUGCGGGUGUAGCAAAUCCUGAGAAGCGUCAACAGCAAACACACGCCGAUCGGAACGAGGAGGAGCCGAUGGUACUGCCCCUGGACGCCGGUGCCAUCGUCUUCCUUGAGAUAGAAAGAGGAAGAACUCCAAUCCAAAUGCCGUCACUGCGAGGAGCGGCAAAAUCUCUUUUGGGAGCGGCAAAAUCCUGGUCUUCUCCUUGAGGAUCGCGGCGAGCAAGUAGACGAGGAACAUAGAGCGCCAUGGCCGACGCCAGUCCCGGUGGGACGCGAGAAAGCUCCCUAGAAUGUGGAACGCCAGGAACGCGACGAAGGAGGUUGCAAUGCCGGAUCGAUCUGUGCUUACCGGGAUCCACUGGAGUGGGAUUGGCCAUAGGCCGAUCAUGCCCUCCCAUCCAUAGCUCGAUAUUAAUAUUAUUUGUUAUAAUAUACCCUUUAUUGUUAAAACUUAUACAAAUCUAAUGCGUAGUAACGUAAUUAUUUUAAUUUAUUAAUUUAAUUGAGGAGCUUAUUUAUAAUUUAUAACACAAGAUUAUUAUAAAUUUUAAAUACAAAAUUAAUCUAACCGAUAAAUGGUAAAAUAUCUCAGAAUAUCCAAGCAUACUCACAUAUCAUUUCUUUGGUAUAUAACAGAAUUUCAAUUUGUGUGUGUGCUAGUGGAAAGGGGCGCUAGCAAUCCACUAGAACGAUUGAUUGAUCCAUGGCUUGGAGCGUGGGGACCUUUUUUCCAAAAUUGAUGGCCUUUUUUUCCACUCACUGUUCUUUCUUUUUGUUUUCUUACAGAGAUUUAUUUUUUCAGAUUAUUCACUUAAAGUUUUAGUAUCUGCUUCUGGACAACCCCACACAAUGGGAUGAUGCUAUACAUGAAAAUUUGUCCUAAAACACUACUCCAUGGCCUUGAACUUUCAGAGUGACCCAGAGUUGCAAAUGAAUCUCCAAAUGCUGAAUAAGUCGCGAGGAGACUUCCACAAUCUUGCGGAAGAUCAGCGCCCGGCCAGCUGGCCCCAAGAACAGAAUUACACGAUCAUUCUCUUGAUUGGGCCUUGAGAGGAGACACUUAAUAUUCAAAUGUGCAGAUAUACUUUGAUUCUGCCGCGAGAGUCAAUGUGACUUCUUGCCAUGUGUUCGAUGGAAGCAUAAAAGUCAAGCCAAGAUUGGGGAAAAUGAUACCAAGAACACAAAUUUGGAUGGAUUCUUUCCACCCCCACCGUACCCGUCAAAACUCUGGCUCGAAUACAAGAUAAAAGGCAGCAAACAAAGGAGCAAGGAGAAAACCAAAACCCGAGAUUCCAUAAACUUUUCUCUCGAGUUGUUUUGAAAGAGAGAAGCGAACCUUUAAUCCCACGAUACUCUUUUCGGACGUGACAAAACCCUCAGAGUCAGCUCCCUAGCAAUCAAAUGACGUCAUCUUUUAUGGCCUCGUCUCUCUUUUAAGUAAGCGAAACAAACAAAGUGGCUUUGGGGGAGAUUUUUACUCUGUUCGCGUGUGAAUCCUCAGCGAGCGAGCGCGGGGAUAGCGAUUGAUCAAACUCCAUGGCGUUCACUUCUCGAGCUUGGAGAGUGGCACCCUUCAUCUUUGGUACCAAAUUGAUGCUUGGAUAGAUUUUGGGUCUUUUCCUUUUCUUUAGCCUCUUGAAUUUUGACUCUCCAUGGUCUUGAUCAUUGUUACAUUCUUCUUCUCAUGGUUUGGAUACAUCAUCUUGAUUUGUGAUUUGAUUUCUUCUUUGGCAGCGGUGGUGACGCUCGAACAGGCAGCUUCUUUCUCAAUUGGGAUCAAUCUCUUCACGUUUGCAUUCAACACGGAGCAUUUCAGCCUCGCCACUGCUGCCAACAUUGUGACCAACUUCAUGGGAACGAUGUUUCUCCUCACGCUCCUUGGAGGGCUUGUGGCAGAUCUCUGGUGGAGUCGGUUCAAGACGAUCGUCGUCUCUGGCGUCCUGGAAAUCCUGGUAAAGAUCUCUCUCUUAUCUCCAUUUCUCGGAAAACAAAAAAUACAUAGUACUUGAUGACGAUACCGAUCUUCUGCGCAGGGGAUUCUUCUCGUGGCGCUCGCAGCAUCUAUAAAAUCUCUCACUCCACCCGAGUGCCAGCUUCUAGAUGCUUCCUGCAAGAGCGCAACCUCUUCCCAAAAGGCAGUGUUCUUUGGAGGACUCUACCUUCUAGCACUUGGAGCCGGAGGUGUCAAAGCCAACAUCGCGACCAUGGGAG
This 7005-nucleotide long non-coding RNA is filed under the name Selaginella moellendorffii. RNAcentral's name for it is "long non-coding RNA (SMOE_LNC001242)". The stretch from base 4122 to 4193 matches the Rfam family "tRNA". Lineage: Eukaryota; Viridiplantae; Streptophyta; Lycopodiopsida; Selaginellales; Selaginellaceae. The record is from RNAcentral.